AGAUUAUCAGCUAAAUAAAACAAGAAGUGACUGGGGCCACUAUGCCCUGUUGGAUUGAAAUCUUGUGAGCAAAGUGGUUUUCUCUGAGAGAUUUAUUUCCUGCGCUGGCUUCAGGCAGCCAGCCCAGCCGGAAAGAACAGGGCUGGUCUCCCUCCAUUUGGGGGGGAGGAGGGACGCGGGGUUUUAUUUAAUCUUCCAAUGAGCUGGAACAGUGAAGGUGGUGUGAAUGGACAUUAAUUCUGAAACAAAUUAUUAAAGCGAGAUCUGGGAUUCCGGGAAAGCCAUCUACCCGCUGCCUGUCUGCCACUUCCCCUCACCAAGGCCAUAAAAUCCCUCCUCUCCACUCAAAACCCAACACCAAGCUAACUGGGUCUCCCAUUCAGGCUGAUGAGGGAGGCCUGGAAUUGACCUCAGCUGAGAGCCAACAGAGCAGCAGGACUGCCGGUGCCCCCAGGCCUAGGCCAUCUGCUUGCCUGGGCCUUGGCCCCCGACAGGGAUCCCCACAUUUCUUGUUCCCUCGAACUUGUUUUUGUGUUCAAGGAUGCUGUAGGCAAAGAUGGCCGCUGCCUCUGUUAUGUGGGCUCAACUUCCAUCGCCCCCACCACAGGGACCUCAGCUCUCCGUGGGCCUCUGGACUCCUAGUCCAACCCAGGCCAUCGUGGACCCUGCCUCCUGAACUAUCUGGCACCCCAUGUCCCACACCCCACUGCUGGGCCCUGCCCAGAACUCUUUAUACUAAGCUCAGUCCAGACCCUGCUCAUCUGAGGAAAAAGAGAUCUGGAAUUCAGAUUCAGAACUGUAUUACAAAGGUACUGGAAGGGCUCCCCCUGUUUGGACCACAACCUUCAAGGAGUGACUGAUGCCACCAUGAGUCCUCACCCAACUCUGCAGCAGGAUACAGUAGAAGAAACUGAGGCAGCUGGAGACCAUGUGAGAGAGGGACUCUGUGUCCAUGCUUGGAGUUUCCCAUGGUUUUCCGAGAGCAUUUUUUAUGUUACACAUUUCAUUCCAUAUGUACCAGGAAAAAAAAUAUACUCGGCCCUUCAGGUCCAACAUUUCAUGGAUUUUGAAAAUUAACAUAUAUUUUUGAAGCAAAAAAGAAUCACAAGUAGAUGGGAACAGACAGAAUGGGUCACGGACCUCGGAGGGGCUGAGACCAGCAUCCACCCUUCCUCUCCAUUUGCACACAGGCAAAGGGACACUGGGGGACAACCUGAGCCGGCUACUGGGUGUGAGUCCGUGCCAAGCCGUGUGUGGGCACUUUGGCCAGUGUGCGGUCUCUCAGCCAUUGAGGGCUGCCCCAGAGCCAUCCUCUAGACAUGACCUCUCUGGUGCCGGAGGAGAGAACUAGGCUCAGGGGGGAGCCGCGUGCCCAAGGGCUGUCUGCUGGCGAGUGAGGAGGGGAUUCUAGGACCAGUGCCUAUGUGUUCCAGGGCACAGAGGCUGGACCUACCUGCGGGGGUUUCCUGGGCCUGGAAGGCCACCCCAGAGCCUUCUGAUUAGUCCUAUACUCAUCCAGCUGCGCAGGGCUGGAAGCUCCUGAAUGUCAGGAUCUGUCCUGGUUUUGUUUUUAAUAAAGGUGGUUAUAAGAAGCUGUACA
RNAcentral lists this long non-coding RNA (1600 nucleotides) under Canis lupus dingo (dingo). Its description in RNAcentral is "lncRNA (ENSCAFG00020015666.1)". Lineage: Eukaryota; Metazoa; Chordata; Mammalia; Carnivora; Canidae. The record is from RNAcentral.